Long non-coding RNA from Poecilia reticulata (guppy), 565 nucleotides. RefSeq lists it as uncharacterized. The record is from RefSeq and is a predicted model, not a curated record. NCBI's taxonomy places the organism in Eukaryota, Metazoa, Chordata, Actinopteri, Cyprinodontiformes, Poeciliidae.
CUAUGUUUUUUGAACAAUAACAAUUUUUGCUGCUAAUCUGUUGCUAAGAGAUGGUUGUGUUUACUGGUAACCAAGAGCAACGAAGUGAACUUCAGAUAUUUACUUUUGCGAAAUUUGCCAACGGUAAAUGUCUUGUAUCUAAUCAGGUAACCACUCUUCACAGAGAGCUCCCGGGCAGAUGGACGCGAUGAUCACGCGCUGAAAACGGAUUUUAUACAAGGCAGCGACGCGCAAACACAAUUACGGCGAUUGGUUGAAUCACACAGUGAGCUCUGGAUGGAGUGCAGGCCUCCGUGAUUCAGCGCGGCUCCUUCCAAACACGAUGAAUGGAUACAGGCGGUGUAUGUAGGAGUUAUGGGAGCCAUAACUUCUACCAGGAAGAAUCCCCGCAGACACCUUUAUGUUCCCCAGCAAGGUGUAUGAAUGUAGAAUAACUCAUACAAAUGUGGCCGUGUUGAUUAAAGAGGAAUUAUUUGCUGCGCCGAGAACAUGGGGAGCAAGACGUUUUUUUCCCUCUUCUCUUCGGCUAGUUAAUCUUGUGCGACCGACGCUUGCCACGGGUCCA